UAAAAUGAUCCCCACCUCUCUAAAAUAAUCCCCAUCUCUCCAAAAUAAUGCCCAUCUCUCUAAAAAGUUGUGCAUGAAUAUGGGAGGCAGUAACUCCCAACCCUAAACAUUUCUCAAGACCGAUAGCGUAUUAGUAGCGUGAGUGAACGUUGAAAAGAUCCCUUAACAGGGAGUGAAAAGAUCCUGAAAUUAAAUGGUUACAGUUUGUAGCGGCACUAAGGUGUUGCUGCUUUCGUAUUGAAAUAUGAGCUAGCGAGUUUAUUUUUGUGGCGAGGUUAAGUCUUCUGGAUGGAGCCGUAGGGAAACCGAGUGUGAAAGCGCGAUAGUCACAGGAAUAAGACCUGAAGCCCGACGAGCUAUGCUUGGGCACGGUGAAGUGGGGGUAAGACCCCGUGGAGGCCGGAAGAGUUUCUGCGAGCACGCGUUCUUAUGACCUGAGUAUAGGGGUGAAAUGCUAAUCGAGUUGGGCAAUAGCUGGUUCCCACAGAAAUAAGCCGUAGUUUAGUCUAGGUGGAGCAGUCUGUUAGUGUAGAGUACAGAUUGUAUGGUUUUGGGGAGCAAUCCCUUGCCAUACUGUCUAACUCCGAAGCUCUCAGAUGCGUAGAAGCCUGGAAAAAGUGGUUCGGGUUAAGCUUGAAUCACGAGAGGGGAACAACCCAGAGGACAGUUAAGGCCCCAAAAUGCUGAUUAAGUGUACUUAAGGUUUUUUUGGUCGUAGACAUCGAGGAGGUGGGCUUAGAAGCAGCCAUCCUCUAAGGAUAUCGUAACAGAUCACUCGAUGAGGCCUUAGGGACCGCAAAUGGACGGGACUAAAAUCAGAUGCCGAUACUGUCCCCCGCUGCGUAAGCAGUGCCGGGGUAUGUGGGCGGUUUGCGUGGACAGAAGUGUGCUUGUGAAGGUGCAUGGACCGCGUAAUCAUGUGAAUGCUAGCAGUAGUAGUAUCUAAGUGAGGUGAGAAACCUCAUCGUCGAAAGAGCAAGGGUUCCUUGGCACUGUUUGUCAGCCAAGGGUUAGUCGAUCCUAAGUCUGAAUCCUAACCGAUUUAGACGAAAGGGAAACUGGUUAAUAUUCCAGUACCAUGCGAAAAUAAAGGUGACGCUUUAAGAUAAAUUGAGCAGACUUGUCUGUCUGUCUAAGUGUUUAAAAUUGGGGAGUUAUGUCAUGUAGAGAACCGAUUGAAUGCAUUAUGGGCCGCAAGGUUCAGUUGAGUCUUAGAGCCUUUGAAAAACCGAUUCGUAUGUUCGUACCCAGAACCGACACUGGUGCUCUGGCUGAGUAAGCCAAGACGUGUGAGAAUAAUCAUCCUCAGGGAAUUCGGCAAAAUGGUCCUGUGACUUCGGUUGAAGGGAUCCCAGCUAUUGUGAUUUUUAUUGUGAUUGCUGGGCUAAGAUAUUGGAUCGGCCCGACUGUUUAACAAAAACGUAGCCGGCUGCAAGAUAGGAAUGUUUAGUAUAGCCGGUGACUUCUGCCCAGUGCUAGUAUCUGAAAGCGGUUUUCAAGCUGCCUAAGGACUGGUAAACGGCGGGGGUAACUAUGACCCUCUUAAGGUAGCGAAAUACCUUGGCCAUUAAAUGUGGUCGUGCAUGAAUGGAGUAACGAGGCUGAUACUGUCCCUAGGAUGAACCUCAUGAACUUACUAUUCUGGGGAACGGGCCAGAGACUUCUAGUGGGACGAUAAGACCCCGUAGAGCUUUACUGUAGCUUGUAGCUGUUAAUUUGUGAUGUUUGCAUAGCGUAUAUGGGAGGCGUCGAAGCAAAGUUUUCGGACUUUGUGGAGCCGACAAUGUAACACCAUACCUUCGUUAUGGAUUGACUUACCUUAAUGGGAACACCUAUAGGCGGACAGUUUGAGUGGGGCGCUACCCUCCCGAAAGAAUAUCGGGAGGACCCUAAGAUCAGCUCAGUCCGGUUGGAAACCGGAUGUCGAGGGCAAGACCAAAAGCUGGUUUAAUUGAGAUCUGAAAAGCAAGGAUUUCAGGUACGAAAGUAGGGU
This 1993-nucleotide ribosomal RNA is filed under the name marine metagenome. RNAcentral's name for it is "bacterial LSU rRNA". It matches the Rfam family "Archaeal large subunit ribosomal RNA", at positions 355 to 2481 of the family's 2987-position model. The record is from RNAcentral.